UGGGGAAUAUUGCACAAUGGGGGAAACCCUGAUGCAGCGACGCCGCGUGAGUGAAGAAGUAUUUCGGUAUGUAAAGCUCUAUCAGCAGGGAAGAAAAUGACGGUACCUGACUAAGAAGCCCCGGCUAACUACGUGCCAGCAGCCGCGGUAAUACGUAGGGGGCAAGCGUUAUCCGGAUUUACUGGGUGUAAAGGGAGCGUAGGUGGCAAAUCAAGUCAGAUGUGAAAGCCCGGGGCUCAACCCCGGGACUGCAUUUGAAACUGACUUGCUAGAGUGCAGGAGAGGUAAGUGGAAUUCCUAGUGUAGCGGUGAAAUGCGUAGAUAUUAGGAGGAACACCAGUGGCGAAGGCGGCUUACUGGACUGUGACUGACACUGAGGCUCGAAAGCGUGGGGAGCAAACAGG
This 404-nucleotide ribosomal RNA is filed under the name uncultured bacterium. Its description in RNAcentral is "bacterial SSU rRNA". It matches the Rfam family "Bacterial small subunit ribosomal RNA", at positions 355 to 776 of the family's 1533-position model. The record is from RNAcentral.